Molecule: long non-coding RNA, 640 nt
Organism: Columba livia (rock pigeon)
Lineage: Eukaryota; Metazoa; Chordata; Aves; Columbiformes; Columbidae
Exons: 3
Source: RefSeq, a predicted model, not a curated record
GACAGCUCGCCCAACCUCGUACAUCUAGCAACAACGUCCCUGCUAAAAGGUGCUGGAGGUAUUAUGAGGAACAACUGAAAAUAAGACAAAAAAGGUGAACCAUCUAACCAUGAGAAAAGCUCACAGCCUUCUGGAAUGAGACACACUCACAAAAUAGAUGAAAACCAUCCUGACUGGCAAUACUCAAAGCAAGCUGUUGGUGUGCUGCCUGUCAACGAGUCUCCCCUCUUGCUGUGGUGGCUGCAUUUGGAAGUUCAGAAUGGAGCAGCACAGGAAACAUAUCACACAAAAAAAACAGGUUAAAAAAAAUUACCAUGAAAGAGAUUAAGUAUGCUAUUGCCCAUUUGCUUGCUGUUUGCCUUUUGUGGAUAAAGUGACAAAAAAGCAUGUGAGAGUUGGUGGCAUAUAUGUGGUGGUGGCAGGAGAACAGCCUUGAGAUAUUUUCCUAAGUGUAUGGCAGAUGCAGCCAAAAUAUCGAUAGGAAUCACAGUGUGUGAUGAUCCACAACAAUCUUGCUGUUCCCCAGUGACAGAACUGAGUAAACGCUUCCUGACUUGAGUCGACAUUUAGGGUGGACUGGUCUUUACCCAUUAACCUAGAGAGCUCUUCCAGGAUAAGAAAUACGGCAAGGCACUCAGCA